AGACUAAACAUGCAAGUCGAGCGGUAGAGAGGUGCUUGCACCUCUUGAGAGCGGCGGACGGGUGAGUAAUACCUAGGAAUCUGCCUGAUAGUGGGGGAUAACGUUCGGAAACGGACGCUAAUACCGCAUACGUCCUACGGGAGAAAGCAGGGGACCUUCGGGCCUUGCGCUAUCAGAUGAGCCUAGGUCGGAUUAGCUAGUUGGUGAGGUAAUGGCUCACCAAGGCUACGAUCCGUAACUGGUCUGAGAGGAUGAUCAGUCACACUGGAACUGAGACACGGUCCAGACUCCUACGGGAGGCAGCAGUGGGGAAUAUUGGACAAUGGGCGAAAGCCUGAUCCAGCCAUGCCGCGUGUGUGAAGAAGGUCUUCGGAUUGUAAAGCACUUUAAGUUGGGAGGAAGGGCAGUUACUUAAUACGUGAUUGUCUUGACGUUACCGACAGAAUAAGCACCGGCUAACUCUGUGCCAGCAGCCGCGGUAAUACAGAGGGUGCAAGCGUUAAUCGGAAUUACUGGGCGUAAAGCGCGCGUAGGUGGUUUGUUAAGUUGAAUGUGAAAUCCCCGGGCUCAACCUGGGAACUGCAUCCAAAACUGGCAAGCUAGAGUAUGGUAGAGGGUAGUGGAAUUUCCUGUGUAGCGGUGAAAUGCGUAGAUAUAGGAAGGAACACCAGUGGCGAAGGCGACUACCUGGACU
RNAcentral lists this ribosomal RNA (694 nucleotides) under Pseudomonas sp. HS28-MRL. RNAcentral describes it as "bacterial SSU rRNA". It matches the Rfam family "Bacterial small subunit ribosomal RNA", at positions 44 to 735 of the family's 1533-position model. Lineage: Bacteria; Pseudomonadati; Pseudomonadota; Gammaproteobacteria; Pseudomonadales; Pseudomonadaceae. The record is from RNAcentral.